RNAcentral lists this transfer-messenger RNA (125 nucleotides) under Clostridiales bacterium. RNAcentral describes it as "partial transfer-messenger RNA". It matches the Rfam family "transfer-messenger RNA", at positions 236 to 374 of the family's 374-position model. From Rfam's summary of the family: Bacterial tmRNA, also known as 10Sa RNA or SsrA, is named for its dual tRNA and mRNA-like properties. Its role is to liberate the mRNA from a stalled ribosome. Lineage: Bacteria; Bacillati; Bacillota; Clostridia; Eubacteriales. The record is from RNAcentral.
GCUACCGAUGCGCGAAGCCUGCCGUCCGGCGUCGCGAAGGGGGAAUCCCAAAAGAACGGAUACACUCGUAGAAAGUUGCGGGAAUGGGUUUUCGGACGCGGUUUCGAUUACCGCCGGCUCCACCA